This 410-nucleotide ribosomal RNA is filed under the name uncultured bacterium. RNAcentral describes it as "bacterial SSU rRNA". It matches the Rfam family "Bacterial small subunit ribosomal RNA", at positions 81 to 524 of the family's 1533-position model. The record is from RNAcentral.
AGCGCGUACCAUACGGAUCGGCAGACGGGAGAGUAACCGUGGGAACGUACCCUUUGGUUCGGAACAACCCAGUGGAAACUUGGGCUAAUACCGGAUAAGCCCUUACGGGGAAAGAUCAUCGCCGAAGGAUCGGCCCGCGUCUGAUUAGCUAGUUGGUGGGGUAAUGGCCCACCAAGGCGACGAUCAGUAGCUGGUCUGAGAGGAUGAUCAGCCUCACUGGGACUGAGACACGGCCCAGACUCCUACGGGAGGCAGCAGUGGGGAAUAUUGGACAAUGGGCGCAAGCCUGAUCCAGCCAUGCCGCGUGGGUGAUGAAGGCCCUAGGGUUGUAAAGCCCUUUCGGCGGGGAAGAUAAUGACGGUACCCGCAGAAGAAGCCCCGGCUAACUUCGUGCCAGCAGCCGCGGUAAU